AAAUCAUUAUAACAUGAUAGGUGCAGUAAUAGAAAUAUGCACAAAGUGCUGUGGAGAGCAGAGGGGACACAAGUGCAAUCGCAUUAUUCAAGGUUGGAGCAGACAUCGUCAUCAAGGAAAGAUUCUGGAAGCUUCUAUUCAAUUUCCAAAGGAAAUCCACAGGUUUUGCUGCAAGAGCCUAACUUUCUUAGAACAUCAAUUUUUUUUUUAAUUUUCUUUUUAAUGUUCCUUCAUUUUUGAGAGAGACAGAGUGCAAGCAGGGGAGGGCAGAGACAGGGGAGACACAGAAUCCGAAGCAGGCUCCAGGCUCUGGGCUGUUAGCACAGAGCCUGAUGCGGGGCUCAAACUCCCAGAUCAUGAGAUCAUGACCUGAGCUGAAGUCAGACACUUACCCGACUGAGCCACCCAGGCACCCCUUAGAACAUCAAUUUUUAUUAUGGAUGGAAUAUUGUGUUAUUGUUUUAUAAUGUUUUUUAAAGUUUCUUUAUUUUGAGAGAGAGAGAGUGUAUGUGCACAUGAGCAGGGGAGGGGCACAGAGAGAGGGAGAGGGAGAGGGAGAAUCCCAAGCAGGCUCUAUGCUGUCAGCGUGAGAUCGUGAAAAUCAAGAAUCAGACCCUUAACCGACUGAGCCACCCAGGUACCCUGGAUAGAACAUUGUUUUUUCUUUCUUUUUUUUUUUUUUAAGUUUUUUCUUUUUAUGUAUUUUGAGAGAGAGAUAGCAACAGGGGGAGUGGAAGAGACAGAGGGAGACGAUCUCAAGCUGAUAGCAAGGAGCCCAAUGUGAGGCUCGAACUCACAAUUGUGAGAUCAUGACCUGAGGCCAAGUCAAGAGUCUGACACCUAACCGACUGAGCCAUCUGGGAGCCCCAGAACAUUGUUUCAAAAGGGCUUUGUUGGGGGGCGCCUGGGUGGCGCAGUCGGUUGAGCGUCCGACUUCAGCCAGGUCACGAUCUCGCGGUCCGGGAGUUCAAGCCCCGCGUCGGUCUCUGGGCUGAUGAUGGCUCAGAGCCUGGAGCCUGCUUCCGAUUUUGUGUCUCCCUCUCUCACUGCGCCUCCCCCGUUCAUGCUCUGUCUCUCUCUGUCCCAAAAA
Molecule: long non-coding RNA, 1090 nt
Filed under: Felis catus (domestic cat)
Lineage: Eukaryota; Metazoa; Chordata; Mammalia; Carnivora; Felidae
Description: lncRNA (ENSFCAG00000047021.1)
Source: RNAcentral